RNAcentral lists this ribosomal RNA (501 nucleotides) under uncultured bacterium. RNAcentral's name for it is "bacterial SSU rRNA". It matches the Rfam family "Bacterial small subunit ribosomal RNA", at positions 25 to 518 of the family's 1533-position model. The record is from RNAcentral.
CAGGAUGAACGCUAGCUACAGGCUUAACACAUGCAAGUCAAGGGCAGCAUAUCGAAGCUUGCUUGAUAGAUGGCGACCGGCGCACGGGUGAGUAACGCGUAUCCAACCUUCCCAUCACUCAGGGAUAGCCCGCCGAAAGGCGAAUUAAUACCUGAUGGUCUCCUUCGCGGACAUCUAACGAGGAGUAAAGAUUUAUUGGUGAUGGAUGGGGAUGCGUCUGAUUAGGUAGUAGGCGGGGUAACGGCCCACCUAGCCGACGAUCAGUAGGGGUUCUGAGAGGAAGGUCCCCCACAUUGGAACUGAGACACGGUCCAAACUCCUACGGGAGGCAGCAGUGAGGAAUAUUGGUCAAUGGACGGAAGUCUGAACCAGCCAAGUAGCGUGCAGGAUGACGGCCCUAUGGGUUGUAAACUGCUUUUGUGCGGGAAUAAAGUUUGGGACGUGUCCCAUUUUGCAUGUACCGCACGAAUAAGGACCGGCUAAUUCCGUGCCAGCCGCCGC